AAAUUUGGCAGCUUUCUGCUUGAAUUUAAUCCUGGACACAGCAGGCAAAUGGCAGAGGUGAACACAGACUCUUGGAAAAAGCUAAAGAAGAAAUAAUUCUCCUUGAUGUAUUUAUCCUCAAUCUGGAAAGGCUAUGACAGCAGUUAUGACUGAUAGCUAUUUCUGAGCAUCCUAAUUUCCUAAGUUAGUUUUUUCCACAAAUGAAUAUUACUGGUUCUUUAACUAAUUCUGAACCACAUCUCUCUGAAUACAAACAAGAGAAACUGCAAAAUAAAUAUAAAAUCUCAUUUUUA
Molecule: long non-coding RNA, 293 nt
Organism: Ornithorhynchus anatinus (platypus)
Lineage: Eukaryota; Metazoa; Chordata; Mammalia; Monotremata; Ornithorhynchidae
Exons: 2
Source: RefSeq, a predicted model, not a curated record